AGGGAAUGUCUGUUCGGUUUGU
This 22-nucleotide microRNA is filed under the name Schistosoma mansoni. RNAcentral's name for it is "sma-miR-36b-5p". Its record names the gene sma-miR-36b-5p. Lineage: Eukaryota; Metazoa; Platyhelminthes; Trematoda; Strigeidida; Schistosomatidae. The record is from miRBase by way of RNAcentral.